Molecule: long non-coding RNA, 614 nt
Organism: Homo sapiens (human)
Lineage: Eukaryota; Metazoa; Chordata; Mammalia; Primates; Hominidae
Product: long intergenic non-protein coding RNA 293
Source: Ensembl
AGAGAGCGGUUUGAUAUGUCACUGAAACCAGCAUCCAGGUGGUAUUGCUCCAUAUGCCUGAGACCCUAACAAAAGCCUAAUUACAACUCAUAUGCCUGGAGCCAGGACAUGUGCAGGAUGCCAUGAUGGUCCAAGUUAUAUUGGGAUUCAGCCAAUAGAAGAUAUUUUGCCUGUCAUCCCUAAGCUUAGGACAAUAGGGUCCUGCCCACAAGAAAGAUUGUGACAUCUCACUGGACAAGCACCCACCCAGCCAGCUUGGUGACCUACUAUUUGAGUCUAUACCCAGGCCCAGACCACAGAUGAAAUUGUGCAAUAUGUGGAACAAACACCUAAACAAUAUAUAACACCUUCCUUGGCUCUGUCUACAAAGGGCACUUUUAUAUAUCACUGGGACCAUCAACCAGGUGAUGUUAAUUAUCUUCCUGAAACCUGUCUACAAAGAGAGUUGUGUCGUAUACCUAGGCCCGUCAUGUAAGUGAUGUCAGUCCCUUCUACUGCCUUGGCCCUGCACUUACAGUGCAUUGUGACACAUAACAAGGUACUGCACACAGACGAUGUGAUUCUCCUUUUUGGGUUCUGCCAAAAGGAAGCAUUGUAAUAAAUCGCUUGGCUCA